UACGAAGGUGGCGACAGUGUUCGCGAAUUACUGGGCGUAAAGCGUGCGUAGGUGGUGAGUUAAGUCUGUCGUGAAAGCCCCCGGGUCAACCUGGGAAUGGCGAUGGAUACUGGCUCGCUAGAGUGCGGUAGAGGAGAGUGGAAUUCCCGGUGUAGCAGUGAAAUGCGUAGAGAUCGGGAGGAACAUCAGUUGCGAAGGCGGCUCUCUGGACCAGCACUGACACUGAGGCACGAAAGCGUGGGGAGCAAACAGG
RNAcentral lists this ribosomal RNA (253 nucleotides) under uncultured bacterium. RNAcentral describes it as "partial 16S ribosomal RNA". It matches the Rfam family "Bacterial small subunit ribosomal RNA", at positions 524 to 776 of the family's 1533-position model. The record is from RNAcentral.